Long non-coding RNA from Xiphophorus couchianus (Monterrey platyfish), 615 nucleotides. RefSeq lists it as uncharacterized. The transcript has 3 exons. The record is from RefSeq and is a predicted model, not a curated record. NCBI's taxonomy places the organism in Eukaryota, Metazoa, Chordata, Actinopteri, Cyprinodontiformes, Poeciliidae.
GCUAAUGGCAAAAAUAUGUUGUCCGGCUCCUGCAGACUUCUAUGUGAGAGACAUAUUAGGAACAAAUUGGUAUAAUGUCCUAAAUAAAAAGUCAAAAUAUUUGUUUUGAGGGAAGAAAUAAGCUCUCCAAUGUAACUCAGGGCUCAUCGUGUCGAAGAAAACCGUUUCGAUAUCCGGCUAUGUGAACAAGGCCUGAAGCAGAGAUGCAAUGUCAGCCUUGUGGUCAUUAUUUCAUGAUGUUGAAAAGGUUUUUGAUUAAUUUGAUCUCGAGGGGUCGAUGUGACACCCCUAGACUUACUAUUUCCAGUUCUGCCAGAUGAGUUGAAAGCGAAGCUUCAAGGAUUUUUGUCAGCAGAAAGAGAAGGAAGAAGUUCAAACCACCGCUCCUAUCAAUCAUAAUGGGCACGGGUCGUAUCCCCUACUCCAACAUCUUUCUGCCUGACUGACUAAACAUUCAACCAGACAGAUUUAAAGAGGAAGCAAAUGAGCUGGAUUAGCAGUGCUUGCCAACAACUCAGGGUGAAUUCAGGACAUGUUAAAUUAAGCUGUUAGCAACAAACAGCAACAGUCUUCAAUUAGAGACCUCAAGAGCCGUUGCAAGACUGACUGCUACUG